RNAcentral lists this ribosomal RNA (497 nucleotides) under uncultured bacterium. RNAcentral's name for it is "partial 16S ribosomal RNA". It matches the Rfam family "Bacterial small subunit ribosomal RNA", at positions 28 to 507 of the family's 1533-position model. The record is from RNAcentral.
GAUGAACGCUGGCGGCGUGCCUAAUACAUGCAAGUCGAGCGAACAGACGAGGAGCUUGCUCCUCUGACGUUAGCGGCGGACGGGUGAGUAACACGUGGAUAACCUACCUAUAAGACUGGGAUAACUUCGGGAAACCGGAGCUAAUACCGGAUAAUAUAUUGAACCGCAUGGUUCAAUAGUGAAAGACGGUUUUGCUGUCACUUAUAGAUGGAUCCGCGCCGCAUUAGCUAGUUGGUAAGGUAACGGCUUACCAAGGCAACGAUGCGUAGCCGACCUGAGAGGGUGAUCGGCCACACUGGAACUGAGACACGGUCCAGACGCCUACGGGAGGCAGCAGUAGGGAAUCGUACGCAAUGGGCGAAAGCCUGACGGAGCAACGCCGCGUGAGUGAUGAAGGUCUUCGGAUCGUAAAACUCUGUUAUUAGGGAAGAACAAAUGUGUAAGUAACUAUGCACGUCUUGACGGUACCUAAUCAGAAAGCCACGGCUAACUACGUG